CCUUUAAUCCCAGCACUCGGGAGGCAGAGGCAGGUAGAUUUCUGAGUUGGAGGCCAGCCUGGUCUACAGAGUGAGUUCCAGGACAGCCAGGGCUACACAGAGAAACCCUGUCUCGAAAAACCAACCAACCAACCAACCAAAGGAUGAUGUUGUAUUUUGGUUCCUCCCACAUCUCUAUUCCAAGUGCCAGGAUUAUAGGUUCUCACUAUCAUGCCUGGUUAGUUUUAUGUAGUAAUAGGACUUGAACCCAGGGUUUCCUGCCAGCAAGUCCCCAGUGCAAGUAUUACAGAACUGUACCAGCACACCCAGCCCAAAACUCCUGCAAGUAGCUUUUACAGGAGAGAAAAACACCCACCAACUAUUUAUGUUAUAGAUUGUGAAGUUCAACUUUUAAUUUUUUUUUAAAUUGUAUGUGUGUGAGUACACUACAGCUGUCUUCAGACACACCAGAAGAGUGCAUCGGAUCCCAUUACAGAUGGUUGUGAGCAACCACGUGGUUGCUAAGAAUUCAACUCAAGACCUCCGGAAGAGCAGGUAGUGUUCUUUAAUUGCUGAGCCAUCUCUUCAGCCCCUCAACUUUAAGUCUUAAAUUUAUCAAAUUUUGUUUUUUCAUAGGAGUCAGGCAAGUUUAUGAAGGUUGGGAGGGUCUGGGAUCCUGCCGUGUAGCUCACGGUGAUCAACAACUUAGAUGUUAAGAUCCACUGGAAACCUGGUCUGUGCUUCUGGUUUCCCCUGAAGCUGAGCUGGGUAAGCCCUAGCUUAGAAAGAGGGAGACUGACUUGUCCCCUUUUUGAGUUCUUAUCUUAGGAAGUGAGGAAUCUGGCUGAAUCCCAGGGCAUCCAUCUGGUUAAAAUAAACAUCUUGGGUGGUCUAAAAUGGAGUCUAAGAACUUGAUGAAGUCAGGUUUGGAGGUAGGAGUCAGAUUUGGAAGUAGGGCACAAUUUGUCUUUGUGAGGUUUUAGGAUUUUAGCAAGUCAAACAUGGCCUCAGCCAUUAGACUAUUUCCUUCCCACUAGACCGACCGCCUGUGUCCCUGACAGCUGCUUGCAGUGGAGUUGGAGCUGGCCUCAGAUACACACUGAUGGAUUGCAGCAACCUGACGUACGGUGGGGAAGCCACCGCCCAUGUUAUUCGGGUAGACCAAACCAAGAAUUAAACAACCACUCUAGUCUGAACUCAGCACUACUGCAGAGAAUCUGCUGGUCCCUAUACAAUCAUCCUGUGGGUAAGGAUAUUACCCACUUAUCGAGCUCCACCCACCGUGUAAGCUGCUCUCUCCCCACACCUGUGCUUCUGGGCUACCUACUGCCAUUAACACAAACCACAGCAAAAGGAAAAUAAAACAAUUUAGCAAAAAUCUAAACAUUCAACUGGAGUCGGUUCUGUGACAUCUGCUGGGCAUUUCCUUUGUCCUUUGAAUAGGUUGGAAUGUGCACACCUGGCUCGACCAAAAGAGGCACAGCUUAGGGGCGGCUUGGACCCAGCUCAAGUCUGGACUUGGCAGCUUUCCUGAGCCUGCCUAGGAAAGCAGGCUGGAGUGCAGGUGUCCCAGGGCUCUCUGGAGGAGCAGCAGCAACACCAUGCCUGGCUCUGGUGCCUUGGUCUCCUCGGAGAGGACACUUGAAGGAAUGGCACUCAGCAGAGUACAGGCCCCGUAACAGUGCAGCGCAGCGACAUCAGCUGAGGACUGGACAGAAUGGUCCUGAUGCUUGGCAGUGAUCCGUACUUGGAUAACCCUCUGCAUGAAAGGGCAGUGAGCCAGGAACCUCA
Molecule: long non-coding RNA, 1770 nt
Filed under: Mus spicilegus (steppe mouse)
Lineage: Eukaryota; Metazoa; Chordata; Mammalia; Rodentia; Muridae
Description: lncRNA (ENSMSIG00000005878.1)
Source: RNAcentral